GACGAACGCUGGCGGCGUGCUUAACACAUGCGAGUCGAACGGAAAGGCCCUGCUUUUGUGGGGUGCUCGAGUGGCGAACGGGUGAGUAACACGUGAGUAACCUGCCCUUGACUUUGGGAUAACUUCAGGAAACUGGGGCUAAUACCGGAUAGGAGCUCCUGCUGCAUGGUGGGGGUUGGAAAGUUUCGGCGGUUGGGGAUGGACUCGCGGCCUAUCAGCUUGUUGGUGGGGUAGUGGCUUACCAAGGCUUUGACGGGUAGCCGGCCUGAGAGGGUGACCGGCCACAUUGGGACGGAGAUACGGCCCGGACUCCUACGGGAGGCAGCAGUGGGGAAGAUUGCACAAUGGGCGGAAGCCUGAUGCAGCAACGCCACGUGCGGGAUGACGGCCUUCGGGUUGUAAACCGCUUUCGCCUGUGACGAAGCGUGAGUGACGGUAAUGGGUAAAGAAGCACCGGCUAACUACGUG
Molecule: ribosomal RNA, 468 nt
Filed under: uncultured bacterium
Lineage: Bacteria
Description: partial 16S ribosomal RNA
Rfam family: Bacterial small subunit ribosomal RNA
Source: RNAcentral